RNAcentral lists this ribosomal RNA (470 nucleotides) under Bacillus sp. (in: firmicutes). RNAcentral's name for it is "bacterial SSU rRNA". It matches the Rfam family "Bacterial small subunit ribosomal RNA", at positions 51 to 502 of the family's 1533-position model. The record is from RNAcentral. Lineage: Bacteria; Bacillati; Bacillota; Bacilli; Caryophanales; Bacillaceae.
AUACAUGCAGUCGAGCGGACAGAAGGGAGCUUGCUCCCGGAUGUUAGCGGCGGACGGGUGAGUAACACGUGGGUAACCUGCCUGUAAGACUGGGAUAACUCCGGGAAACCGGAGCUAAUACCGGAUAGUUCCUUGAACCGCAUGGUUCAAGGAUGAAAGACGGUUUCGGCUGUCACUUACAGAUGGACCCGCGGCGGAUUAGCUAGUUGGUGGGGUAAUGGCUCACCAAGGCAACGAUGCGUAGCCGACCUGAGAGGGUGAUCGGCCACACUGGGACUGAGACACGGCCCAGACUCCUACGGGGAGGCAGCAGUAGGGAAUCUUCCGCAAUGGACGAAAGUCUGACGGAGCAACGCCGCGUGAGUGAUGAAGGUUUUCGGAUCGUAAAGCUCUGUUGUUAGGGAAAAAACAAGUGCGAGAGUAACUGCUCGCACCUUGACGGUACCUAACCAGGAAAGCCACGGCUAACU